Molecule: unclassified non-coding RNA, 25 nt
Filed under: Mus musculus (house mouse)
Lineage: Eukaryota; Metazoa; Chordata; Mammalia; Rodentia; Muridae
Description: oocyte_clustered_small_RNA11880
Source: RNAcentral
AUAAGCAGACCCAGCAGUUGGAAGA